UAGCGGCGAGCGAACGGGGAGGAGCCCAGAGCCUGAAUCAGUGUGUGUGUUAGUGGAAGCGUCUGGAAAGGCGCGCGAUACAGGGUGACAGCCCCGUACACAAAAAUGCACAUACUGUGAGCUCGAUGAGUAGGGCGGGACACGUGGUAUCCUGUCUGAAUAUGGGGGGACCAUCCUCCAAGGCUAAAUACUCCUGACUGACCGAUAGUGAACCAGUACCGUGAGGGAAAGGCGAAAAGAACCCCGGCGAGGGGAGUGAAAAAGAACCUGAAACCGUGUACGUACAAGCAGUGGGAGCCUCUUUUAUGGGGUGACUGCGUACCUUUUGUAU
RNAcentral lists this ribosomal RNA (331 nucleotides) under Escherichia coli. Its description in RNAcentral is "bacterial LSU rRNA". It matches the Rfam family "Bacterial large subunit ribosomal RNA", at positions 244 to 613 of the family's 2925-position model. The record is from RNAcentral. Lineage: Bacteria; Pseudomonadati; Pseudomonadota; Gammaproteobacteria; Enterobacterales; Enterobacteriaceae.